UGCUUAUGUUGUGACGUCUGGGUGGACAAGCACUGCUUCAGAGCUCUGUCGCAUAAUUCCUCUUAUUUACUCUCUAGUAACAAGAUUUUGCAAAAGUACAGAUGAACUUGAAGUUCCAUCUCUUCCUUAUCACAGGGACAUCCCAAGAAUUCUUUUCUUUGCACUUCUCGGCAUUACAUAUUUCUUCCUAGCUCCAUUAAUUUUGCCCUUCCUCCUGAUGUACCUCUGUCUUGCAUACAUCAUCUUCAGUAAUCAGUUCAAAAAUGUAUACAUGCCCAAGUAUGAGACUGCUGGGAAGUUCUGGCCUAUUGUGCACAAUUCAAUGAUAUU
Molecule: unclassified non-coding RNA, 330 nt
Filed under: Hevea brasiliensis (rubber tree)
Lineage: Eukaryota; Viridiplantae; Streptophyta; Magnoliopsida; Malpighiales; Euphorbiaceae
Source: RNAcentral